RNAcentral lists this long non-coding RNA (1728 nucleotides) under Theobroma cacao (cacao). RNAcentral describes it as "long non-coding RNA (TCAC_LNC004532)". The record is from RNAcentral. Lineage: Eukaryota; Viridiplantae; Streptophyta; Magnoliopsida; Malvales; Malvaceae.
CUAUGCAUUCAGAAUGGCAUCAUCAACCAUAAUAUACAUAUAUAGCUUGACAAAUGAAUCUUAGUAUUUCACCUCAAGUAUUCAUAUACACAUAAUUAGGCCUUGACUAUCAGCGGAGGUGACUCUGGUCACAGUUGCUAACAUUUAAUGUCAUGGUAAACCUACCGAGCAAUGGAUAGGGAGGAGCACCUUGUCCUAGGAUUCAAUCACCUUUAACUCAGAAAACCUAAAACAUGAAUUUUAAAAACAUGAGUACAAACUCAGUGAGUGAACAUAGGAAGGGAACAAGCAAUGACUUGGAAUGGUUUAGAAAACAUAAUGCACUUAUUUGAAAACAAUGCCAUUUAGUUCAAGUUUUUAUUAAAAUCCCUCCAUUAAACCCUUGGUUGUAAAAUCAUUUAAUGAUGACGGAACCGUAUUCAACAUGAAAUUGGAAAGAAAGGAAAUUUCCAGCAAUUAUCCAAGUAAGGCAGUAUAAAUAGAAUGUUUCUCGUUGCAAUAAAAUCAAUUUGCAAAUAACGGCAAAUUUUCAAGAUUCAUCAUGUGCAUCUAACCCAGCUCAUGUGCUGCCACCACAUCGUGCACAUAGCUGGACAUCCCAUCUUACCUAGCUCAUGUGCAUCCGACCACAUCUUGCACAUAGUUGGACAUCACAUCUCACCCAGCUCAUGUGCAUCCCACCACAUCGUCCACAUAGUCGGACAUCCCAUCUCACCCAACUCAUGUGCAUCCCACCACAUCGUGCACAUAGCCGAAUAGUAUCACCAUCCAUCUCCCUCACCACCGUCAUCACCGGCAAGUGCACACUCACCCCGCACAUGCACGGUUGCAUUUGUCACACAAUGGUACCAUUUAUGACAUAGUAUAUAUAUAUAUAUCAACAUUGUACAAAAACAUAUGGAUUCAUCCUUUUACACAUUUCACAUAUCACAACAUCAAACAUUUUAUCAAGGGCUUGUUCCCAUGAAAUUUUAAAGCAAAAAUCGAUAAAAUUCCCAAAUGAUUCAUUGAAACACGUAAACAUUUCCCCAAAACAUUUUGAAAUUUAAGUUCACUCACCUAACAAAACUAGCACCAACAAGGUCCUAAUCCAGGUAGUCUCAAAAUACCAUUAAAACUUAUAUUUAUCAAUAAACCAUAAUAACCUCAAUUAAGUCAUAAAUUAAAUAUAAUAAUUCUAAUGAAUUUACAUUAGGCAAUCUACCCUCUAACCUAACAUUUAACCUAAGUUUCUUGUCUAAUUCACAAGCCCUUAUGGCCAACUAGUCAAAUUUAAAAUUUCGUUACUUGGAUGAGAUUGGAAGCAUGAAGAUCAACAAAUAACCUAAUCUUUCCAAGAAAAAUAAUUUGAAGAAAUUAGGGAAUAAAUCUGAAAAUAUAACCAUAAAUUCCAAAAUUCCAAAAGUUGGAAAUAUAUACCUUUCAACCUUGAAAAUCAAGAUUUGAAGCCAAAAAUCCAAGUGUUGUUGAAAGUGAAGUAGAAAUAGAAAAUAUAAGAAACAAGAAGAGAUUUUUCUUUCUCUCUCCUAAGGUUUAGAUGUGCUAGAAAUUGGGGUUAAAAGCUGCAAAUUCAGUGCCCAAGAAGUUAGGAGAAGGAAGGAUUAGGAAAAGAAAGAAAUGAAAAGAAAACAAGGUCAAAAUCCCAUGAAAAAUUUGAUUUUCAUGGAGGUGGAAUGAAAAUGGCAUUAGAUGGGUGAGGAAAAAGACAAAGUUGCUAGAAGGUUGAAG